AACAUCAUUAACUCUUCGGAAGAGAUCUGCAGGAUGGCCUCUCUCUAGCUAACACCUAUGAGCCCUCUCAAUGCUGAGUGGAAAUUGCAGAUCAAGCUGCCAUUUCCUAGAAGAUAUCGUCACAGGAAGAGAAACUGACGUGGGUGACAAGUGGCUUCUCCACCAGCCCUUCCUCCUCACGGAUCCCACCUCUGUCACGCCUCGCAGCAUGGCGCUGUUAACAAGACGCUGUGAGUUCUGGGUCUAAACCCACGGCGUCCAUGAUUUCGUAAAGAUGAGAAGUCGUGCCUUGAAGAGAACCCGUGACCCAGGCGACAGGGUAUGACGGAUCCGAGGAGCUGCGGUGACGCAGGACGUCCCCCCCAGGCCGGGGUCCUUCACCUCCAGCACGUGUCCUGCUCUGUGAUCUCCCGCCCUGGCAUCUUUCCGAGCUCCGCCCCGGACACGGAGCGGACUCACAUCCCACCUGCAGAGUUCAGUGUCAGGACGCCUCCCUGCGAGAGCUCUUCCUUCCCCGUGGACAGCGGAGGACAGGUCUGCACACACACGUCUUCGUUCUGUUUGUUUUCGAGGUGUUACUCUAGCAGCCGGCUCUACUCUCCUAUACGCGGGUAACAUGCAGAUGCGAGACACAAGGACACCGUUGCAUCAGACUCACAAAGAAACUGACUCCCAGCAGGGCCAUCAGCCCGUCGUCGAGUGCCACGCUGAGCAGCGAGGAGGCUGGCAUCUCUCUUGGUGGGAAAUAGGGAAAAACCAGCUGACGAUAUUCUGCUAAGUAGGAAAAGCGGAGAACAAAAUAAUCCAGCACAAUGACAAUUUUAUUCAUACAGGAAGAAGGACAACAUUUGGAGAAGAAAAUGCGCACUAUGCCUGAGUAAUUACAUCUCAGGAGAAUAAUAAUCUGGAGCUGUUUAUUCUUUCAAAAUGCGUCUCUGCAUUUUCUUUUAGCAUUUUAUUUAUUUAUCUGAUACAGAGAGAGAUGGAGAGGACGCAAGC
Lutra lutra (Eurasian river otter) is the source of this 999-nucleotide long non-coding RNA. RefSeq lists it as uncharacterized. The transcript has 3 exons. The record is from RefSeq and is a predicted model, not a curated record. NCBI's taxonomy places the organism in Eukaryota, Metazoa, Chordata, Mammalia, Carnivora, Mustelidae.